UAGUACAUAUAUAUAUAUGUAAAAAGUUUAGAAAAAAAAAUUAAAACAGUUCACCAAAACUCUAAAUUCAUCGUUGUUCAUCAAAAUUCAUCGUUCUUCAUCGAAAUUCAUCGCUGUCGUUUCCUUUUUGCUUUUUGGAUAACCAAAAUCUCGAUUCUGAAAAAAAUUGGUCAGAUUUGUUGGUAAAAGCUGCUCAAAUCUGUUGAUUAAAUAUUGUUGGUCAAAGCUGUUCAUCUCUUCAAUUGAUUUUUGCUUGAAAUUCUUAGUUUUCUCAAAUAAGGUUCUCAAAAUUUGUGCUCCAUAGUGUAUGUGGUCAAAAUCCUUUUGCGUAUUAUGUUUAACCCUUUAACAAAUGAGCUUGAGCUUGGAUUUUGUUAUGAUUUUGAUGGUUGGGUGGUGAUCAUCGGGGUUCUUUUUGACAUGGGUGUUGGUGAUUUUCUUGAUUUUUAUUGUUGUUUGAUGGGAUUGGUCAACCAAACACAUGCGUUAAUGGAGUUAAAAGGGUUUUUUUCUCCCGUCUUUCCUUUUGUGUAUUGUUGUUGCAAGUUUUGGGUUCGGUGUUGUUUCAUCAUAUAUUUUGGGUUCUGUCUUGUUUCAUCAGUUAUUGUUACUGCGGUUCUUACUAAAUUAUAUACUGAUUGUGCUCUACCAGAUGAGAUUGGUUUGGUUUUAUGCUUGUGUAGUUGUUUUGUGGCCUUACUCUUUCCAGGACACCAACCAUGUGUUUUGACUGAUGUGCACUGAUGUCGAGUUGGUUACCGGAAAACUCUAGGACGUUGAAGCCCCAAUUUUGCUGCUCAAAGAAAGAAUGAUCCUGAACGAGCACUGAGAAUGACCACAAGACAAACAUUGGUUGAGAUAUGUAGAGACGUUCUUAAAUAAUGGGUUGACCAUGGAGAAGCAUGAGGGCGUAGAAUGCAUUUUUGAUUUUUGAUCAUAUGUAUGAAUAUGAUAAAACUGAAGCACUAUGUCGUUCUUAACAUAUAUGCUGUUGACUUCUUAUUAAGGAAUGUACUUAUAAUAUUUGAUGGGAGGAUGAUUUUGUAAAACACUAUUGGAUGCUUUUAUUAGCUAAUAUUAUUUGUAGUUCUUAAAA
Capsicum annuum is the source of this 1096-nucleotide long non-coding RNA. RefSeq lists it as uncharacterized. The transcript is spliced from 4 exons. The record is from RefSeq and is a predicted model, not a curated record. NCBI's taxonomy places the organism in Eukaryota, Viridiplantae, Streptophyta, Magnoliopsida, Solanales, Solanaceae.